This is a small nucleolar RNA of Rhinolophus ferrumequinum (greater horseshoe bat), 75 nucleotides long. The record is from Ensembl. NCBI's taxonomy places the organism in Eukaryota, Metazoa, Chordata, Mammalia, Chiroptera, Rhinolophidae.
UGGACCAGUGAUGACGACUGGUGGCGUAUGACUCACGGAUGAUGAAUAAUGUGUGUCUGCAAGUCUGAGGUUCAA